Salmo salar (Atlantic salmon) is the source of this 80-nucleotide non-coding RNA. NCBI's taxonomy places the organism in Eukaryota, Metazoa, Chordata, Actinopteri, Salmoniformes, Salmonidae. The record is from Rfam.
UGGCUAUGAGGAUAAAAACUUACUAUGACAUGGCUAAAGCUAUGACAUUCUGAUUCAUAAUACGCUAUUCUGAGCCAUGA